GACCCCUUCGUCUAUCGGUUAGGACACAAGAUUUUCAUUCUUGUAAGAGGGGUUCGAUUCCCCUAGGGGUCGCCA
RNAcentral lists this transfer RNA (75 nucleotides) under Cloacimonas acidaminivorans (SeqCode). RNAcentral's name for it is "Candidatus Cloacimonas acidaminovorans tRNA-Glu". It matches the Rfam family "tRNA". Rfam says of the family: Transfer RNA (tRNA) molecules are approximately 80 nucleotides in length. Lineage: Bacteria; Pseudomonadati; Candidatus Cloacimonadota; Cloacimonadia (SeqCode); Cloacimonadales (SeqCode); Cloacimonadaceae (SeqCode). RNAcentral also lists the same sequence under 4 other names. The record is from RNAcentral.